This 492-nucleotide ribosomal RNA is filed under the name uncultured bacterium. RNAcentral describes it as "partial 16S ribosomal RNA". It matches the Rfam family "Bacterial small subunit ribosomal RNA", at positions 30 to 507 of the family's 1533-position model. The record is from RNAcentral.
AUUGAACGCUGGCGGCAUGCUUUACACAUGCAAGUCGAACGGUAACGGGCCUUCGGGUGCUGACGAGUGGCGAACGGGUGAGUAAUGCAUCGGAACGUGCCCAGAGGUGGGGGAUAACGCAGCGAAAGCUGUGCUAAUACCGCAUGUGAUCUGAGGAUGAAAGCGGGGGACCAAGCAGCAAUGUUUGGCCUCGCGCCUCUGGAGCGGCCGAUGUCAGAUUAGGUAGUUGGUGGGGUAAAGGCCUACCAAGCCGACGAUCUGUAGCUGGUCUGAGAGGACGACCAGCCACACUGGGACUGAGACACGGCCCAGACUCCUACGGGAGGCAGCAGUGGGGAAUUUUGGACAAUGGGCGCAAGCCUGAUCCAGCAAUGCCGCGUGCGGGAAGAAGGCCUUCGGGUUGUAAACCGCUUUUGUACGGAACGAAAAGGCUCUGGCUAAUACCUGGGGCUGAUGACGGUACCAUAAGAAUAAGCACCGGCUAACUACGUG